Molecule: transfer RNA, 73 nt
Filed under: Trichonephila inaurata madagascariensis
Lineage: Eukaryota; Metazoa; Arthropoda; Arachnida; Araneae; Nephilidae
Rfam family: tRNA
About the family: Transfer RNA (tRNA) molecules are approximately 80 nucleotides in length.
Source: Rfam by way of RNAcentral
GGGCCAGUGGCGCAACGGAUAACGCGCCUGACUACGGAUCAGGAGAUUCCCAGUUCGAAUUCUGGUUGGCUCG